RNAcentral lists this ribosomal RNA (465 nucleotides) under uncultured bacterium. Its description in RNAcentral is "partial 16S ribosomal RNA". It matches the Rfam family "Bacterial small subunit ribosomal RNA", at positions 28 to 507 of the family's 1533-position model. The record is from RNAcentral.
GACGAACGCUGGCGGUGUGCUUAACACAUGCAAGUCGAACGGUAAGGCCCUUUCGGGGGUACACGAGUGGCGAACGGGUGAGUAACACGUGAGUAACCUGCCCUCAUCUCUGGGAUAACAGUCGGAAACGGUUGCUAAUACUGGAUAUGAGCCUGCAAGGCAUCUUGUGGGUUGGAAAGAUUUUUUGGUUGGGGAUGGACUCGCGGCCUAUCAGCUUGUUGGUGAGGUAGUGGCUCACCAAGGCUUUGACGGGUAGCCGGCCUGAGAGGGCGACCGGCCACAUUGGGACUGAGAUACGGCCCAAACUCCUACGGGAGGCAGCAGUGGGGAAUAUUGCACAAUGGACGGUAGUCUGAUGCAGCAACGCCGCGUGCGGGAUGACGGCCUUCGGGUUGUAAACCGCUUUCAAUUGUGACGAAGCUUUUUGUGACGGUAGCAGUAGAAGAAGCACCGGCUAACUACGUG